This 329-nucleotide unclassified non-coding RNA is filed under the name soil metagenome. Its description in RNAcentral is "partial contains 5.8S ribosomal RNA, internal transcribed spacer 2, and large subunit ribosomal RNA". The stretch from base 1 to 120 matches the Rfam family "5.8S ribosomal RNA", at positions 35 to 154 of the family's 154-position model. The record is from RNAcentral.
GAUGAAGAACGUAGCGAAAUGCGAUAAGUAAUGUGAAUUGCAGAAUUCAGUGAAUCAUCGAAUCUUUGAACGCACAUUGCGCCCCUUGGUAUUCCGAGGGGCAUGCCUGUUCGAGCGUCAUUAUAACCCCUCAAGCUCAGCUUGGUGUUGGGGCCUGCUGCACUGGCAGCCCUUAAAAUCAGUGGCGGCGCCAUCUGGCUCUAAGCGUAGUAAUUCUUCUCGCUAUGGAGUCCUGGUGGAUGCUUGCCAUCAACCUCCAAUUUUUCUGUGGUUGACCUCGGAUCAGGUAGGGAUACCCGCUGAACUUAAGCAUAUCAAUAAGCGGAGGA